CCGGCCCUGCAUGUAUGGCCGAUGGCCCCUUUUGAUCAAUAGACUGCAUGCCCUUUCGCUUAUUUGUAUUCUCUUUUCACUUCGCUACCUUUGUGGAUCCAACAUGUCUUAUACCCAAACCUGAUCCAUAAGAAGUGACUAAUCAGGCUAUUGCUUCUGUCUUCAAAGCUACGCUCCUACUUCACUCGAGCAGCAGAUUCUCUAACAGUAACAGCGGAUUCGUGCAGCGUAUUCUUGCUAACAAACGAGAGCGCUUCCAAGCACAACGCUGCUUUUCGUAGGGACUCUCAUCUCAAGCCUCUAAAACUCUAAAGU
This 315-nucleotide long non-coding RNA is filed under the name Panax ginseng (ginseng). RNAcentral's name for it is "long non-coding RNA (PGIN_LNC013437)". The record is from RNAcentral. Lineage: Eukaryota; Viridiplantae; Streptophyta; Magnoliopsida; Apiales; Araliaceae.